CCGGAUUCCGGUAGUGGAAGUUGCUAAGGAAUUGCCUGUAGAGCUAGCAACCAGAGAGCCAUUUAAGGUUACUACUGUAAACAAAAAGCACAUUUUGCUUAUGUUGAAACAGUACUUCCAACUCUCUUGGAGCACCAAUUCAUCUCACCGACACCUGCCAUGAAUAAAAGAAGGUGAUGUUACCUGAUUUGGUCUUCAACAAAAGUAGGUGUUAGUAGGUAGUAAAUGAAUUACAUUUGUACGUCUCCUCAUAUUUAGUUUGAGCAUGCAUGCCUAAAUCCAAACUUCCCAUGAGUUGUUUCAUGUGUACAUGCUUUUCAAAUGUUAAAAUAAAGCUUAAUGCUAGAAUCAUAAUAAGAUUAGUAGAUUACACAACAGUAUGAUGGUUAUCAUGCUUGCCUUAGUUAUACAUUAGACAUGCCAUGCACACAUCAUUAAUAGUUGAGAUCAUUGUCCUUGAUAGUGUUUUUUGCAAGUUGAGUGCACUCCAUGAGAAUCAUCGACGUGUUCUUAUGACUGCUAUGGAUGUUGUAAACUUGUAAUUAUAUAGAAACAUUUCUUUCUACAUCUGAAUUUGCUAGAAUCUAUCAUAAAAUGCAUUUCAACCACUCAUUUUCACAUGGUUCCUUGUGUCAUAUGUCUACUUUAAUUUUAAAUUUAUUUAUAUGGGGAGCGUCCAUCAUUCUGGCUUGUCAUUGGACCCUUAAGUGUCAUACAAUUGUUAUAUUAUACUAUCAAAUAUGAUUGAUAUAUCGUCGCAACACACGAGCAUUGUACUAUAUAUGCACUACCUAUGAAGAGGCUAAUGUAGACCGCCGUGAUACCGUGCCCCCACUCGGAUGCCUCUUCCCAUGCCCGCCCCUCACCUCCCCCGGUGAGACAGCCUCCUUUCUCGCUAGCCCCAGCGCGCCAUCACCGUGAGGCCCCGCCUUCCUCUCUGAUCCCCUCUUCGAGACACCACCCCCACGCACGCGCCCGCCACGCAAUGCCCCCUCUGCUAUCCAACCCCGCCGGUGUCAAGGUCGCCCGCUCCUUCUCCACCGCCUUCUGCGUGUCGGAGCCAGUCCAGUACAGGGGCAGAGCUAGAGAUUUUUGUUAAUGGGUUUAGGAUUCAGGAAUAUACGUAUAACUAGAAAUCAUAAUAUUACCACAUAUAGCUAUUAUAUAAAUUAAAGGGUGAAAACAUAAUAGCUAAGGGGGAUGGCGGUCAUUUCGGCGGACCGUUCGGCGGUCAUUUCGGCGGACCGUUCGGCUCCCCGCCCUCCCGCCUUCCCUGCAUGCCCUUCCGCCUCCCCCGCCCAUCGCUCCGUCAACGGCGGCCGCCCCACCCUCCCCGCACCACCUAGCCACUCGCCGGCGCUCACCCCGACUCCGGCGACCACUUCCUCCUCCCCCUCCCGUGUGGCGACUUUGUCUCCCGCCGCGGCUUGUCCGUUCUCCCCCGCUGGGCGUUCCAAGGCGCAGCGGUGGGCGUCUUCUUGCCUCACCAGCCCGUCCUCUUCGGCCUUGGGCGUUGGUGCCGUUGGAAGCGGUGCCUCGCAGAGGACUUUCAAGGACGUGCUGCUGCUCCCUCCGCCCCUGCCGUCUGCCCGGCAGUCCCUCCCUCGACCUCCGCACAGACCGAAGUUUGCGGUGGUGCAACGUCCUGGAACGGUGCGCAGGCCUGUUCCUGACCGGGAGGGCUGGGUUAGGGUCGAACCUCGUCGACGUCAACUCCCCCCUUCGCCACCUUCCCGUCGAUCGAUCCCUGAGGAUCUCCGGGGUAGGUGUUUUAACUGUCUGGCCUCCUCUCAUCGGGCGGCGGACUGCCGACGUUUGGUGCGCUGCUUCAAGUGUUGGGGGUUCGGACAUCGUGCAGUUCAGUGCAAGGUUCGUGCUGCGCAGGUGAUCAAAGCUUCAGUUUCGGUGUGGGAUCGCCUUGGCCCUAAGCUGGUUCACAAGCCUUUGGACUCUCCUAAACGCGCCAUGGAGUGGCGCAGGGUCUCUUCGCCGAUCCCGGCCAUCCAGAGGUCCGGUGUGGCUGAUCCUCCCUUGGGUGGCACGAAGAAACGCCGCCAUCGUACGCGGGGUCGAAGGCCUAAGACCGCCCCCGUUGCACCUUUGGAGGAAUCCAGUGAUGUUGCACCUCCACCCGGUUCCUCUUCCCUAGAGCCGGUCAGGGUGCAUGCCCCUCAACCGGUUGUUCCUGAUAUGGUGGAUGCCACACAUCUCUGCAUUUUGGAUCGUGCGGAUGCGCUUGCUAGAGAAGAACUGCGGUUGCGACGGUGUGCUCUGUUCGUUGUUGUCACUGGUUCAAGACCGAGGGUGGCUGCUGAGACUCUUGCUGAUGAGGUGGCUGCUGGUUUCGGGCUGGAUGCGUCGUCCUUCUCCGUUCAUCGUUCGUACCCAGAAGAUUUUGUCUUAAUCCUGAAUUCGGAAGAGUUGGCCAAUCAGGUGUACAACAAUGGUGCUGUUUUCAAUUCUCUUUCUGGGUCUUUCAAGUUCCUGAGAUGGUCUAGACUUGCUCAUGCCGAGGUGGUGGCCUUUCCAUCUCCUGUUCUUGUGGAGUUCAAAGGGAUUCCAAUUCAUGCUUGGGAUUUGGCUACUGCUCAGAAUUUGUUGAGGGAUCACUGCACUGAUGUGGAGCUCCAUCCUGACACGGUGAAUAGACACGACUUCUCUUCCUUCAAGGUUUUUGGAUGGUGCCGACGUCCACACCUCAUUCCAAAUUUGGUGGAGCUCCUUGUUCCGGAACCGUUGAUGAUGACGUCUGGCUCUACCUCUCUUGAGAGAAGAUUGCUCGCUUACCAAGUGACUGCCCUUGUGUCUCUGAUCUCUCCGCCGGUGCAUAGCGCUGCUGCACCUCCGUCGCCGGCGUUUGAUGAUGAUCAGGACAACGGGCCUCGUCGGCGCAGGCUCAACAGUUCAGUUCAGAUGGGGCAUGCUGGGUCCGGGGAAGCACUUGCAGCGCGAAGGCCCGUCCGUGAAAGGCUGGGUGUUGCCCCGGUCUCUGUUCGACAUGUGGAGGCUGGAUUGUCCGUGAAAGACUCGGCGCCUUCCGUUGCCUUGGUUACUGGGGACACGCAUACUGAUGUUGUGGAGCCGGUGAUUGGCUGCAUGGAUGAUGGGUUGAGUCUGCCCCUGGAGAAUGUUCAUGGGCCUGGCACUGAGACUUUGGAGAUUCCAGGUGCUUGCGAUGGCCCGGGUGGUGAAGUCUUCUUGUCCAUGACUGAUGUUGACGUGGACUCUUCUGUUCUGGCGGUGGAAACUUUGAGUGCUUUUUCAUCCCCCUCCCCCUCGAGUGGCCCUGCCAUCGCUACCCGUGUGGGGACUGUGUUGAAGCCGUCCAUGAAGGCUGUUGGGGCAGGGCUCAGGAGGUGGCCGUGUUCCCCAAUCAAAUAUUUCAGAAGGAAGUGCAGAGGGGCUGCUGCUUCACAAUCCCCUCUCUCGGCUGCUCAGUCUGCGACCACUGCUGAUUUCAUCGCUAGGGUGUCCAGGCCGGCCGCUCGGGUCCUGUGUGGGCCGCAGAAGCUGAAGUGGCAGCGUCGCCCCAGGGCACCUUGUGAGGGGGCUCUACCUCGGCGGAGCAGGCGCUUGGCUGGAGCAGAUGUUGAAAAGGUAAUGGCCCCAGCACAAGUUUCGAAAGGAAAAUGGAGGAUUGCUAAUGAGCUCGGUCUUCUUGGUGGGGAUCCAUCUGAAUCGCUAUCCCUGGAGGUUCUCGAUAACUAUGCCAAGGUCUUCGGUGAGCGGCUGACUGAUCUGCAAGUUAAAGCUCUUGCGGCUCUCUUCAACUGGACUGUCCCAGAAGACUUGCAGGGUGCAGUGGUGCAGGCCUGAUCGCCUCUGUGUGUGUUGAUGGUCGUUUUUCAUUGUUUUUCCAAAUGGAUCCGUCAAAAAUUGUGUGCUGGAACGUGCGGGGUCUUAAUGGCUCGGCCCGUCAGGAUGUUGUUCGUUGUUUGGUGGACUCAGUCAAGGCUGAUGUUGUUUGCCUCCAGGAAACAAAAAUGUCGGUUUUCUCUCGUUUGUUUGUGUUCCGGUUGCUUGGGUCUGAGUUUCAGAAUUUUGUUUUCACACCUUCAGUUGGGGCUAGUGGAGGGAUUCUAGUGGCUUGGAAGAAUAAUAUCAGCUCAUGUGGCUCUAGGAUUGAUGACCAUUGUGUCUCGGUGAAUUUUAGCCUUGAGACUGGGUCAUCUUGGUGGUUGUCAUGUGUCUAUGCCCCUCAAGGGAAUCAUGAGAAAAUUCAGUUCUUACAAGACCUCAGGUUGAUUAGGACCCACUGUUCUGGGCCCUGGCUGGUUGUUGGCGAUUUUAACAUGAUUCUGUGUGAUGAAGACAAGAGUAAUUCCAAUGUUGAUCGUGCUAUGAUGGGCAGAUUUCGAAGGUGGAAGGACGAUCUUGCCCUCCUGGAGCUUCCUCUGAUUGGGCGCAUGUUUACUUGGUCGAAUGGGCAUGCCUGCCCUACUUUAGUCAGAUUGGACAGGAUGUUUUGUACUGCUGAUUGGGAAGAUUUAUUUCCAGAUUGCCUUCUCCAGAGUGCUGCUACUCAAAAUUCGGAUCACUGCCCUCUCUUGUUGGGCCUGUGUGAUAUUAAUAAAAGGAAAGGGCGCUUCCAUUUUCAGACCUUCUGGGUAAAAUUGGAGGAUUUCCAGGAUGUUGUGGCUAACGCUUGGAGUUCGAUUCCCGCAGGCCAGUGCCCUCUUGUUAGUCUUUCCAAGAAAUUACAGGCUACGGCAAAGGCUUUGCAGCGUUGGAGUGAUAAUAAAGUGGGGGAUUUAAAACUACAGCUUGAAAUGGCUCGGGAGCUCCUUCAUAGACUGGAGAUGGCUCAUGACAGCAGAACUCUAUCUCCAAGUGAGGAUUGGUUAAGGCGUACCCUUAAGAAGCACAUCUUGGUGCUCUCCUCCUUGUCGAGAUCUAUAGCCCGUCUUCGGUCCAGAAUUAAUUGGUUGAAAGAAGGGGACGCUCAUACUUCCCUGUUCCAUGCUCAGGCUAGAAUAAGAAAGAAGAAGAAUUUUAUUGGCUCGUUAUCUACAAGUGAAGGGCUUAUUUUGACAUCACAUGAGGAUAAGGCUGAUGAGUUGUUCCAUUUCUAUGAUGCCCUGCUCGGGACUGCUUUGGGGAGAGAAAAUUCUCUUAAUCUUGAUGCCCUGGAGAUGCCUUCUUUCAAUCUCAAUGAGCUAGAUGUGCCUUUCUUAGAGGAAGAAGUUUGGGGUACUGUAAAAUCUAUGCCGUCGGAUAAAGCUCCGGGCCCGGAUGGUUUCACCGGCCGUUUCUACAAGGUUUGUUGGGUAACAAUCAAAGCUGAUGUUAUGGCAGCGAUCUCUUGUGUUUGGGCUCGGAAAUUUAGGAACAUGGGGCUGCUCAAUUCAGCGUUUAUCACUCUUCUGCCUAAGGUUGAGGGUGCAACCCAAGUGAAAGACUUUCGUCCGAUCAGCCUUGUCCACAGUUUCGCAAAGUUAGUAACAAAGAUGAUGGCCAACAGAUUGGCUCGGCAUUUGAAUGAUAUGGUCUCUCCGAAUCAAACAGCGUUCAUUAAGAAAAGAUUUAUCUUAGACAAUUUCAUGCUUGUGCAGCACACUGCAAGGUUUCUUCAUCGUCAAAGGCAAGCCCGCAUUCUUUUCAAGCUCGACAUUUCUAAAGCUUUUGAUUCGGUAUCUUGGGCUUUCUUGCUAGAAGUCUUGCAGAAGUUGGGUUUUGGGCAGAUCUGGCGUGACAUCAUUUGUGGGCUGCUAGCCUCUUCUUCGACGAGAAUUUUAUUAAAUGGUGUUCCCGGGGACUACAUUGCUCACCAGCGGGGUCUUCGGCAGGGGGACCCUUUAUCUCCAAUGUUGUUCAUCUUAGUCAUGGACACUCUCAACUUGCUGAUCCAGAGGGCAUCUGAUGAAGGGCUGCUUCACUCUCUUUCCACGAACAGUCUGCAGCACCGAUUCUCUUUAUACGCGGAUGAUGCAGUGGUUUUCCUCAAGCCGGUGCCUUCAGACAUAAAUCUGAUUCUGGAAAUCCUUCGGAUUUUUGGGGAUGAGUCCGGUCUAAAGACCAACGUUCAGAAGAGUAAUGUUUUUCCUAUCCGAUGUUCUGAGGCGGAUCUUGCUUGUGUUCAGGAGCUCCUUCCAUGUUCCAUUUCGGAAUUUCCCUGUCAGUACCUUGGCCUCCCGCUUUCUCUUGGAAAGCUUAAGAGAAGUCAAAUUCAAGCAAUUGUCGAUAAAACUGCAGCACAGUUACCUGGGUGGAAAGCUGAUCUGAUGACAAAGGCCGGUAGAGCCAUUUAUGUUCAAUUUGUGAUGACAUCAAGAAUGAUUUAUGCUGCUCUGGCGUUGGACAUCCCUUCUUGGGCUUUUAAAGCAAUUGAUAAGCUUCGACGAGGCUUUCUGUGGAGAGGGAGAAAGGAGGUGAAUGGUGGCCAUUGUCUGCUGACUUGGCCCAAAGUCACUAGACCCAAGGACCUGAGGGGUCUGGGUAUUAGUGAUCUUCGGAUCAUGAGCUGGGCACUGCGGGCUAGGUGGCCUUGGCUGCAAAAAUCUGAUAGGACUAAGCCAUGGUCGGACUUCCAGAUUCAAACCUGCGACAUUGUGCAAAGCUUGUUGGCUGCGGCUGUUAUCACUCAUUUGGGAGAUGGGUCUGAUACUCUAUUUUGGAAGGAUCGUUGGCUGAAUGGCAAAUGUAUUAAGGAGGUGGCACCUGCUGUCUUCGGUAUGGUGCCCAAGCGUAUUGCUUCUAGACGCCUGGUCAAGGAUGCCUUGCCUGAUCUCAAUUGGUUGGCUGAUCUGAGAGGGGCUAUUUCUGUUGCAGCCCUUGCUAAUCUCAUGGACCUUUGUGACUUACUCGAGGGGAUGGUUCUGCAGCCGGAUGUUCCUGAUGUGCAUACCUGGAGGUUUAGUGAAUCGGGUGAAUACUCGGCUAGUUCAGCUUACAGGGCUUUGCUUCUUGGCUCUGUUAGCUUUGAGCCUGCUGAACGCAUUUGGAAAUCCUGGGCUCCAGGAAAGUGUAAAUUCUUCCUCUGGCUUGUGGAGCACGAUAGAUGUUGGACGGCUGACAGACUUGCUAAGCGUGGCCUGGAUCACCCAGUGUCCUGCCCUUUAUGCGACCAGAUGGAAGAAACUAUCAACCAUUUGCUGGUUCAGUGCAGUUUUGCAAAACAGUUUUGGUUCAGCCUUCUGCGGUCGGGUGGUUUCCAGGAGCUCUGCCCUUCCCAUGAUGACGUCUGUUUUGAAACCUGGUGGAGGAAUAGUGCUGCCAGGGUGGGCAUGCCUUUAUCCAAGGGAUUCAAUUCUCUUGUCAUUUUGGGUGCAUGGACUUUGUGGAAGCAUAGAAAUAGGUGUGUUUUUGAUAACUGUAACCCUAGCGUUGCGGUGGUGUUGGCAGCUGCAAGGGAGGAGUUGAUGGGUUGGCGUAUGGCUGGAGCCAAAGCGCUCUCUUUCUUUCAUUUAGAAGAGGUGUCUUAGGUGUCUUAGUUGUUUGGGGUGUGUUUUUUGGUUUUGGUUUGCCAAAUGUAACACCUUUGUACUGGGGUUUUUUCUCCCCAUUUUAUUCUUCUUCUUCUUAAUACAAAAAUACGCAGCUCUCCUGCGUAUUCAAGAAAAAAAAACAUAAUAGCUAAAUAGAAUCCUGCAAUCAUAUGGUUGCAUGUUUCAAAAAAGCACUUUGAUGUUGUGCAAUGUAUAUGUAGUUUCCUCAUUUCUGAUAUAAUUAAACAAAAAACAUGUUACUUUCACAAGUUUUGAACAUUUGAUCAUGCACAAUUAAUUGAAAACUAUAUAUACUCACAUGUUAAAGCUUCCCACUUCAAAAUUUCAUCUUCUUAAAAAGAUCAAUCACCUCAUCAUUACUAAUGGUUGAAAACAUAUCUUUCUCCACAUAGCAUAUUAGGCAAUCUGUGGCAGAACCUCCCAAGUUAUUGGGCCCACAUGCACCUGUCCUUGUCCCAAAGACCUCAGACGGCUGUGCAUGUGCACCAGAUAACUUAACAGGAUCUGUCUGAUUGCCCCAAGGACAUCGGAUAAACCACUUACAACCAGAACCGCGGGAUUAAGUAACACAAAUCACACACACCAAUAUUUUUGCAGCGGAAAUACUAUUACCAAAUUUUACAAGUUACAAAAAUUUUAUAUUAUUUUAUCGGAGUGAUUACAAAAGUAUAAGUUGAAAUAUAUGCUAGCUCAAAUGACCAUCCUCGAUAAGAAGUAUAGAAGGAGUACUUAGACUUAUAAGAAGGCCGAGCCCAUCGGCACUUAACACCAUCAACAACAUCACAAAGUUAGGACCUGAAAAACAACAGGGAAUAAAACCCUGAGUAUGGAAUUACUCAGCAAGACUUACCCGACUAAAGAAAAGACUCUCAAGGGUAUGCUGGCUUAAGGGAGUCAAGGUAUGGUUUAUCAAGAAUCAAAGACUCUGUUUUGCAGAAAUGCUUACUAAUAAUGGAUCCUUAAAAAUCCAGUUUUAUUGUCAGGUUAAGUAAAAUAACCUGCAACUAGAGUUCUUUCUACCCUAGUUCAAUCACUUGACCUGCACUAGCCAAUUUCUCAACAAAAACCCUUUAUCUUUAGUGGAAUGCUACGUGUAAGUCAGUGGCCAAGUCUCCAUAACCGCGGAGGUACGGCGAUCCGAAUCGAUUAUACUCAGCUGAGGAUCUCCAAUCACACGACAUAUGUAGCACUUAACCCUUGCAUAUGUCAACCCGCCACCGGGGUUCUUAAGACCGGAUCAGGUUCACGCAAACCGAGAGCACAGCUACACCACCGUCCAGCCUCUUGCCACGGAGGGUACACGCUACUCUCGCCACCGCUCCACGCCCAUUUCGUGUUAUCUUAUUCCGGCCUUAGUCUACCCGAGGCAAGGCUUACCCAUGACGAGGCAUGUGACCAGUUAAAGGGUCCUCGGUCAGCAGGCCUACAUCGACAAGGUCCUUAAUCGACUCAGACGGAGACACUACACCGAGACUCUCUUCUCGUGCAAGUCACCCGCCCGGUCUCAGCUUAAUCAUUUAACCCAAAAACUUGGUACCUGGCAGAGGUACAUCUUUUCCGAUGUUGAAUCCAUAACGGCCAUGAUGGAUCCACCAUCAAGUUUUAUUUUCGAAAACAUCCCUCCCACUUUUGCCACAACAUUUUUUUGUAAAAACAAAACCUUUUGUUUUUCUAAAGCAAAGCUAAGCAUCAAAAAGCUUUUGUAAAACAGGCGAUUAAGGAAGGUAAUCAGAUUCAAAGAAGGUAAUGCAGGAAUGGUUUUAGCAAUCAACUCCUAUCACCUAAUGCAUCAAGCAAGUGAGAAAGAUUUUAAAAGUAUCAAGGGAGGUGGCAAAUGCACCGGGGCUUGCCUGAGUAACACUAGGUUAGUGUUGGUUAGGCGAUGAGCACUUGACGACCAUUCUUUGUCUUGGCACUUGUCAGGUCAUCCAUCCAUGCGUUCGUCCUUCAGCUUCACCAUGCGGAGUAGCCCGCGCUUGGGGUCGACUUGGCUUGUCUUCCGCAUCGCGCGAUUAAUUAUCGUACCUAAAUGAUUUGCAUAAUGCACAUGAAUGCAUAAGAACGGGAAUAUUAUAAACCUAAAUAGUGUUAUACGAUAGUGUAUUAAACACCUAGUGGCGAGGCGUUGUACAAUCUUACACGGAAACACUAGUUAUUAAUAUACGACUACGCGCUAUAAUUACGCUUCCUAAAUUAAACGAACCUAACACAAACAUUACAAACAACAAAUCAUACACUUUAAACAUAAUUAGCCUAAACACAACUCAUUAGUUACUUAAUUAAAUGCUAAAUUUAUCUCUCGCUUUAUAAAUUAUAUCACUUUGCUCACCAAAAACUAAUUUAAUUUUAUUUUGCAUCACACAUAUUUAUUUAAUCUAUCUAACAAUUCGGCUAACAACUUGCGCGCCAAUAAUAAAUUUAGCUUAGAUUUACUACUUUGAUUAACGAAUAUGAAUCCAAAUUUUUUGUCAAUUACAUGUUAAAUACCGUACUAAUAUUAAUUUACUCGAAACUAAUAACCCAAGCAAACUACCUAGAACGUAAUAACUAUUAUAACACAAGGAAUCAGCAACACGUAUGACUACCGAUUAAAUCACCGUACACGAUUCAAGUAGUCUAAUAAAUAUUAUAUUUAGUCGACUGGAAUAACAAAUCCACUUACCGUCCAUUAAAUCUGACUUAAAGCUUGCGAGAACGUCGACAGUCUUCGAAUAAAAUCUUUGAUCGAACCCUUGGCGAGCGUUAAACUGAGCUUCACUUCGACGACAACCAGAUCGAUAUCGGGACUCGACGGCAGUGCAACACCACCACGAGAUGGAGGCAAACCGGCUACGACGGCAUAGGACAGGUGCGGAGGCUGACAGCAGGGGACUUCGCGAUGGAUAGCGAGACUCGACAGCGAACGACAAGGUCGACGACGCGACGAAAUUAAGGUCGAGCGAGCUGAGAUGGCGCGCAGCGAGCAGGAAAAAGACUCGACGCGGGAGUUUGACGCGCACGCGAAGCUAUCACCAGCGACAACACGACGAUGGCGAUAUGAGAGAACGCGAAUCGGCGCGGGCCAAACACCGGACAACCAUGCCAGCGACUUGGGCGAGAUCCAAACUAGAGCAGCAGCACAC
RNAcentral lists this long non-coding RNA (10567 nucleotides) under Zea mays. RNAcentral describes it as "long non-coding RNA (ZMAY_LNC003809)". The record is from RNAcentral. Lineage: Eukaryota; Viridiplantae; Streptophyta; Magnoliopsida; Poales; Poaceae.